Apis laboriosa (Himalayan honeybee) is the source of this 2024-nucleotide RNA transcript. It is a transcript of the gene named carnosine N-methyltransferase, with no coding region annotated. The transcript is spliced from 9 exons. The record is from RefSeq and is a predicted model, not a curated record. Lineage: Eukaryota; Metazoa; Arthropoda; Insecta; Hymenoptera; Apidae.
AAGAAAAUGGCAUUUCGAUGACGUGCGACGCUGUCACGCAGUUAUCCUUAACCAAUGAUUUAUCAUAGUAAUGUGAAUGCGUCAUAACGCGUGCAUGAAGAAAGCCGCCACUGAAAGUCGUGCUAAAAAACUUAUUAAAAUACUAAGUUUCACAUUCGAAUAUAAAAAUGGAAACAAUGUCGAAUCCUUAUCCAAAAAAAAUGCACGACACUUAUGAAGAUGAGGAAGAGAGAAAACACUUUCAACGUAUUGUCUCAGCUUUUAAGUAUUACAAAAAUCAUUCACUACUAAGGGUUAAAAAAACAGAAUCCUAUUUGCUAUCACUUCCAGCUCAUCAUCAAAAAUUAUUAUCAAAAUAUAGAGAACAUUUGCAAGAAGUUAAAAGGUGUAUUGAAAAUAAUGAUGAGAUAAUUAAACUUAUCAUUAAGGAUGUAGCACAUAUUUUUGAAAAUGUGAGCCCAACUACUGCACAGACUGAAAGUGUAAGAAAAGUUCACCUGACGUUAAAUCCUCGUCCAGUAAUGGCUGAUCAAGAAAAGGUCCAAGCUACAAUUAAGCAACUUGUUCGUGAUUGGAGUGUGGAAGGUACCGAAGAACGCAUGGCAUGUUAUCAGCCUAUUAUAGAUGAAAUUAUGAAUCAAUUUCCUUUAGAAUAUUGUACACCAUCAGAUGUGCAAAUUCUAGUACCUGGAGCGGGUUUAGGAAGAUUGGCAUAUGAAAUUGCAAGACGUGGAUAUACUUGUCAAGGAAAUGAAUUUUCUCUUUUCAUGCUCUUUGCUUCUCAUUUUGUAUUAAAUAAAUGUAGAGGAGUAAAUUCAUAUCAAGUACAUCCAUGGGUACAUCAAUAUAUGAAUAAUUUAAAACCAGAACAUCAAACCCAAGCUGUAUUUUUCCCAGAUGUAAAUCCUAGCGAUCUUCCAGAAAAUGCACAAUUUUCUAUGGCAGCUGGAGAUUUUCUUGAAGUUUAUACAGAAAAUAAUCAUUGGGAUUGCGUUGCUACAUGUUUUUUUAUAGAUUGUGCAAAUAAUGUUGUACAAUUUAUUGAAACUAUAUAUAAAAUUUUAAAACCAGGAGGAAUAUGGAUAAAUCUUGGUCCAUUAUUAUAUCAUUUUAGUGAUAUGCCAAUGGAAGAUUCAAUAGAACCAAGUUAUGAUGUUGUUCGCGAUGUAAUUCAAGGUUUUGGAUUUCAAUUAGAGAAAGAAGAAACACGUGUGAAAACUCGAUAUGCACAGAACAUUAAUAGCAUGUUGCAGUGUGAAUAUAAUAGCGUAUAUUUCGUUUGUCGAAAACCUAAAAGACAUAUAGAUAAUAUGAGUCAUAGAAAUGGCACUGAAAGUAAUGGUAUGCAAGAACAAGAAAAUUAAUUAAUGACGAUUUUCUGUAUUUUAUAUAUAAAAGAAAUUGAUGUAAUUGUAAAUGAAUUAUAUAAUAGGUUCAUUACUACUAAUAUAAAGCAAAGCUGUUAUACUCUAUAAAUCAAGUCAAUAUUAGGUAAUUUGAAUCUAGAAAAGAUAACAAAAAUCUUUAAAUAUUGUUAAAUAAAUGUUGAACUACUAUUUUUUUAUCAAGAAUUUUAUUUCGCUAUAACUGCUAAAUAUAAUUGUUCUGUUAUUAAUAAAUUGGAUAAUAAAAUGUAGCUAUUUUUUUAAAUAUCGACAGAAGUUUGUUCAAGUUCAAAAUGAUAACUCUACUUUAAUACUAAUAACAGUUUUGCAAUUUUUCUUUGAGUUUAGGUAUGUGAUUUAGCAUAUCAUUAAUGUUUAUUGUUUGAAAUAUUUACCAAAUAUCGUGAUGAUAUGAAAUAAAAGUCAAUUUGGUUGCAUGUGCAUUAUAUGCAAUAUCCUUUUCAAUUGAUUUAAAAACAAAUUUCAUUUAUUGUUAAAUUUAUGUUAUAAACCGAUUGUCUUUUCUAAUUCUAAAUAUGUAAUAUCGAAGUCGCACAAAUAUUGCUCUUUUGUAAUAUAAUUUAUAUAUUAUGUUAUCAUGAAAUAAGAAUUCAGUAAUAUUGUGCAACAAAAAUUUAU